This 465-nucleotide ribosomal RNA is filed under the name uncultured bacterium. RNAcentral describes it as "partial 16S ribosomal RNA". It matches the Rfam family "Bacterial small subunit ribosomal RNA", at positions 28 to 507 of the family's 1533-position model. The record is from RNAcentral.
GACGAACGCUGGCGGCGUGCUUAACACAUGCAAGUCGAACGGAAAGGCCCUGCUUGCAGGGUACUCGAGUGGCGAACGGGUGAGUAACACGUGGGUGAUCUGCCCUGCACUUCGGGAUAAGCCUGGGAAACUGGGUCUAAUACCGGAUAGGAGCCAUUUUUAGUGUGAUGGUUGGAAAGUUUUUUCGGUGUAGGAUGAGCUCGCGGCCUAUCAGCUUGUUGGUGGGGUAAUGGCCUACCAAGGCGGCGACGGGUAGCCGGCCUGAGAGGGUGGACGGCCACAUUGGGACUGAGAUACGGCGCAGACUGCUACGGGAGGCAGCAGUGGGGAAUAUUGCACAAUGGGCGCAAGCCUGAUGCAGCGACGCCGCGUGGGGGAUGACGGCCGUCGGGUUGUAACCUCCGUUCGCUAGGGACGAAGCUUUUUGUGACGGUACCUAGAGAAGAAGCACCGGCUAACUACGUG